UACGAAGGGUGCUAGCGUUGUUCGGAAUCACUGGGCGUAAAGCGCGCGUAGGCGGCUUUUCAAGUCAGAGGUGAAAGCCCGGGGCUCAACCCCGGAAUUGCCUUUGAAACUGUAAAGCUUGAGUGUCGGAGGGGAUAGCGGAAUUGCUAAUGUAGAGGUGAAAUUCGUAGAUAUUAGCAGGAACACCGGUGGCGAAGGCGGCUAUCUGGACGACAACUGACGCUGAGGCGCGAAAGCGUGGGGAUCAAACAGG
Molecule: ribosomal RNA, 253 nt
Filed under: uncultured prokaryote
Description: partial 16S ribosomal RNA
Rfam family: Bacterial small subunit ribosomal RNA
Source: RNAcentral